This 510-nucleotide ribosomal RNA is filed under the name uncultured bacterium. RNAcentral describes it as "partial 16S ribosomal RNA". It matches the Rfam family "Bacterial small subunit ribosomal RNA", at positions 28 to 507 of the family's 1533-position model. The record is from RNAcentral.
GACGAACGCUGGCGGCGUGCUUAACACAUGCAAGUCGAACGAAGAGCGAUGGAAGCUUGCUUCUAUCAAUCUUAGUGGCGAACGGGUGAGUAACGCGUAAUCAACCUGCCCUUCAGAGGGGGACAACAGUUGGAAACGACUGCUAAUACCGCAUACGAUCUAAUCUCGGCAUCGAGGAUAGAUGAAAGGUGGCCUCUACAUGUAAGCUAUCACUGAAGGAGGGGAUUGCGUCUGAUUAGCUAGUUGGAGGGGUAACGGCCCACCAAGGCGAUGAUCAGUAGCCGGGCUGAGAGGAUGAACGGCCACAUUGGGACUGAGACACGGCCCAGACCUCUACGGGAGGGAGCAGGGGGGAAUCUUCCGCAAUGGACGAAAGGCUGACGGAGCAACGCCGCGGGAGUGAUGACGGCCUUCGGGUUGUAAAGCUCUGUUAAUCGGGACGAAAGGCCUUCUUGCGAAUAGUGAGAAGGAUUGACGGUACCGGAAUAGAAAGCCACGGCUAACUACGUG